Long non-coding RNA from Gorilla gorilla gorilla (western lowland gorilla), 2090 nucleotides. RefSeq lists it as uncharacterized. The transcript is spliced from 3 exons. Lineage: Eukaryota; Metazoa; Chordata; Mammalia; Primates; Hominidae. The record is from RefSeq and is a predicted model, not a curated record.
ACAAACUACUUCUGCCGCACGAGGGAUUUGUACGACACAGGAGAAUGUCAGAGACUAAGCAAAUUUGAAUAGACCUCUGAGUAAAUAUUUCCCUUUUGGAGUUUUCAGGACUUUCUGUCCCGCUGUUUUAUGGGGGAGGCGGGGGAAGACACGCAGACAUCAAUUCGACUAAACAAAAUUUAUCAAUAAUAUUAAAAAUAAAAAGUAAAGCCCCUUUCUGAACAUUAUGGCUUAUUCCUUGAUUAUCCUUCUUAAUGCCACAGCGUGGCUAUCUCAGAACAAAAUUAGAGACUAACAGUAAAUUUACUUUAAUUUUUACGAAUAAUUCUCUAUCAAUGUAAAAAUUUUUCAUAUACGCGUGUAUGAAAGAAAAACACUACUAUUUUUCCACAUGCGUGAAAACUGCUUAACUGGGACAGUAACCGAGCGGCCAGUGAAUAUUUAAAAUACUGUAACCGACGAAUACGUAUGCCUCUAGGACCACGUGGAAUCUUUCCCAUGAGACAGGAUUUCACCAUGUUGCCCAGGCUGGUCUCAAAACUCCUGAAUUCAAGCAGUCCGCCCGCCUCUGCCUCCCAAACUGUUGAGAUUACAGGCGUGAGCCACCGCACCCAGCCUCAAGAAUGUCUUAAAUAAUGUAUGUACUAUUUUAUCAGUUUACACCCUCACUAGCAUUGAUGAGUUUUCUUUGUUCCACAUUCUCUCCAACACAAGAUAUGGUCAGACUCUUACCAUUUUUACCACUGUGAAAAUUGCAAUUUACAUUUCCCUAACAAAGUGGUGCAUUCUUCCAUACUUACGAAACCUUAUUUCCUCUUCUGUGAACUGUCCACUCUUACCUUUUAUAAAGUUUGCUAUGGAGUUUUCUUUCACAAAUGAUGUGUACGUCAUUAGAUAGCCUGCUCUAUUCAUUCACCUGUAUAAACUAAAACUAAACUCCUAAGUCAGCCAUCAAGAGAAUAGGCCCCCUUGUGGCCAAGGGGAUCCUAGAAAACCUUAAAACUGAGUUCUAGACCGCGAUGGGACAGGUUAGACACACCUUGUUUUACUCCCUCCCUUUUGUGGUUCAACACAACAACUGGCCAGCAUUAAUGUUAAAACAGAGAUGAUAAGACUGACAGAACAGACUCUGGCAAUAAGAUGCCAAAUUAUAAAAAAAGACCUAAAGCCAUUCCAGGCAAGGUUUUAGUCCCACACCCCUAUACUUAAAGAAUAAACUGUGUUCUAACUGCCACAAGAUUCUUCUCUAGCAGCUAAACAAGUACUGGCCUAAAGAUAAACAAUAUUAAAAUAAUGUGCAGCUCCACGAGAUGCUGACUUACUGACCCCCAGUCCCCGUUCCACCAGCCAUAGCUACAGCUUUCAUUGGACAACGUUUUGUUGAUUUCAGUAACUUUCUCCAGAUAAGAAGACCACUGGCCAUGGACUGGUUCUGGCUGGUCUACAGAGGUCGCACAUUUGUGUGGCUUCAUGUCCUGAAAGACCUUUUGACGUAUAGGGCUCGUAAUACAUUUAAAUGUUAAGUCUUGGCUGGGUGUGGUGGCUCACGCCUGUAAUCCCAGCACUUUGGGAGGCCCAGGUGGGAAGAUCACGAGGUCAGGAGCUUGAGACCAGCCUGGCCAACAUGGGGAAACCCCAUCUCUACUAGAAAUACGAAAAUUAGCCAGGCGUGGGGGCAGGUUCCUGUAAUCCCAGCUACUCAGGAGGCUGAGGCAGGAGUAUCGCUUGAAACCGGGAAGUGGAGGUUACAGUGAGCUGAGAUCACAUCGUUGCAGUCCAGCCUGGGUGACAGAGCAAGACUCUGUCUCAACAACAACAACAAAAAAGUUAAGUCUCCAUCCCAAAGUGAAUAUGGGUCAUAUGUUACAUGAGUUUUUGUUCAAUACGCAUGUGUCAGGACCACUUUCAUGAAUAUUCAUAGCUCUUCCUGUAACCGGGUGAAAAUGUAGGUUUAGCCAACCUGUUCAGCCUAAACUACACUCCAAGCCCUCCUCCUUCAAAGCGCCUGUUUCUGGAGGCACGCUUCCCAGCCUGCAGGAUGGCCACCUUGCAGGCCAUAAAGUCUCCCCUUCUUUUCUAAAUUUAUUCAU